UUAAAACGGAAGUGACGCACGCCAGCCGGUGGCGGGAACUGAACGUCUCAUUUGCUGUGUUCGUUACUUACCGCGCUGUAAUUAUCGAAAGACAAAGAAUUUACACCUUAUAUAUUUUAGAAAAUAAACAAUCGUGACACUGAUGUAAUGUUGUGUUAUAUACAGAUCAGAUUUUGAUAGUCUGUGAAGCUGUCUAGAGGGAUUUAUUAUCGGACAUAAUUAAGUGCACGAGCAUCACCGGCGGCUAUCAGUCCACGCGAGACAGAAGAUUCUCAUAACGGGUCGUAUUUAAAAAUAUUCAUAUCAACAUGAGCUUCUUCAACCUGGACCGGUUCCGUUUCCAAAAAGACAGAGGGGUUGACAGUCGUAAAUCUGUGGAUGAGUCCAGGUCGGAUAAAGAGAAUCUCCGGGCCCACCAAAGGAAGAUAGAUGUACGAUGUGCUCCAGGAAAGACAUCGAGACAAGCACUGGAGGAUGUUUUUGCUGAUGACAAGGUUGUCAGGAUGGGCAAGGAUACUCCAUCAAAGUCAGUACUAGAGACUAAGCACCAGAUAAACAAAGAAAUCGAAGACAGAGUGACCAAACUAAUGGAGAUGUUUCCUCAGAAGAGCAAGAAAGAUCUGCUGGAGGUGGUUGAGAGUACUAGCACACUGGAGGGAGCUGUAGCACAAUGUUUGAUAGUAUAUGGGGAUAAAGAGGAUGAUUCAGGCAGAUGGAAAGGGAAGGCAAGUCAUAGUGAAGAUGAUGAUACUCAACCAAUGAAGAGGAGAAAAAUUGUGCGCUCUGAUUCGGAGGAGGAAGAAGAUUCUGAGGAUGAGGAGAGCCAGGAGCCAAACAGAGAGAGGCAGGAGGCUCUGUUGAGGAAGCUGAAGAAGAAACUGCCUGAUUUAGAAAAGGAGGUCCUAAGGGAUGUUCUUAGAGAGCACGACUGGGACUUUGAAAAUGCUUUGGGAUCACUGCUUGUGUUUUCAUCAUCAGAUGUCAGUUCCCCAGAAGAACAGAGACAACAAAAGCCAAAAUUAUCUCACUCCAAGGAAAAUACUGGCAAGCGCUUGCCGAAGCCUGAAAGUCUGUCAACAUGGCUGACAGCAGCCCAAUCAUCAGUGCGAAAAGUCUCUGGUCUGUCUACUCCCAAGAUGCAGAAAUCAGCCAGCAGCAAAAAUACUACCACAAAUUCAUUGUUUAAAUGGAAGAGGGGAGAUAAAAAGCCAUUAGAUGAUGUCAGUGGCUCUGAGGAUGAAGAGGAGCUUGACAGUGAUGUUGAGAGUGUCUCGGAUGAUUUGGAAUCAGAGGAUGAGGACAGCACCUCUGGUCAUCUCCAAGACCAGAUCAUUUCUUUCCUCCAGGAGGCUUCCCUAGAUGAACUUGCUCUGAUAUCUGGCUGCUCAAUCAAAAAAGCCCAGAAGAUCAUUUCCCUGAGGCCCUUCAACACUUGGAAGGAUGUGAAAGAGCAGUUCUAUAAGGACAAUGGCCUGUCUAUAGACCUGGUACAUGGCUGCAAGGUGGUGCUUAAGGAGAGACAGGUGGUUAGACACCUCAUGGGCAGAUGUGAGAAGAUUGCACAGAAAAUGACUAAAGAUGUCACCCAGGUCAUAGAAUUAGGCAUGGGGUCUAUGAAGCAACCCAAAGUCCUGAACAGCAAUUUUAAAUUACAGCCAUAUCAGCUGAUUGGCUUGAAGUGGCUGAUACUGCUGCACCAGCAUAAGCUCAGUGGGAUACUUGCAGAUGAAAUGGGGCUAGGAAAAACAAUUCAGGCCAUCUCUUUUCUGGCUCAUUUGUAUGAAAAAGGCAUCAUGGGCCCUCAUCUCAUUACUGUGCCCUCAUCCACACUGGAUAACUGGGUACGAGAGCUGGGUCUGUGGUGCCCGAGUCUUAAAGUCCUUGUUUACUACGGCUCUGUGGAGGACCGGAAAUACUUGCGCCAAGAAAUUCUCAGCAACCUAGUCGAUUUUAACGUUAUUGUAUCCACUUACAAUCUCACAAUAGGGAAUGACAAUGACCGGAGUCUUUUCCAUAAGCUGAGGCUGAAGUAUGCAGUAUUUGAUGAGGGUCACAUGCUGAAAAAUAUGAACUCCCUACGCUACCGCCGCCUUAUGGCCGUCAAUGCUGAGCACAGAUUGCUGCUGACAGGAACACCUUUACAAAACAACUUGCUGGAGCUCAUGUCCCUGCUGAACUUCAUCAUGCCCUCCAUGUUCUCCAGCAGCACCUCACAGAUCUCCAAGAUGUUCUCCACGAGGUCAUCAGAGGAAGAAAGCAGUUUUCAUAAGGAGAGAAUCACACAGGCUAAACUUAUUAUGAAGCCAUUCAUCCUGAGACGAGUCAAGAGUGAGGUGUUGAAACAACUUCCACCAAAAGUAGAGAAGAUUGAAAUGUGUCCCAUGAGUGAUGCUCAGCAGAAGCUCUAUGACAACCUUUUCAAUAGGCUCAAGAAGACUACGAAUGGAGAUAAGCGGGAGCUUUGCAAUGUGAUGAUGCAGCUGAGAAAGAUGGCUAAUCAUCCAUUGCUACACCGCCAGUACUACACCAGUGACAAAUUGGCUGCCAUGAGUAAGGCCAUGCUUAAGGAGCCAACCCAUUUUGAUGCAGACCAUGUGCUGAUCCAAGAGGACAUGGAGGUGAUGUCUGACUUUGAGCUGCAUAAUUUAUGCAAGCAGUACAGCUCCAUCAGCAGCUUUCAGCUGGAGAAGGAGCUCAUCUUAGACUCUGGAAAGUUUGCACUUCUAACUAAGCUUCUCACCAAGCUCAAAGAAAAGCUCUGUGGACUUUAAACCAUGUGAAUCCCUCUUCAGUUUGUGAAGCUUCUCCUCUGUGUGAUAUCACCUGUACCAUUGAUCUCAUUGUGUAAAUCCUGUGAAUCUCAGUAAACGCUCUCGCACUUGGUUUCACUAAAUACAACUUGUGUGGCUUGAAUUCCUGACAGUCAUAUAGCCUAUAUAUUUCUGCUAAAGAAAAAGCACAAGUAGAUAACGCAGCGGAAUUGCUCCGAAAUAAAGGAUGGAUAUUUACUGCAGUAAUGUGUUUUUUAUUAUUUGGAAAUUAUUUUUUUGUUUUUAUUAUUAUUAUUGUUUUGAAAUAGUUUUGGACUGUUUUAGUUUGUGAACGGUGCUUGGUCUGUGCUAGUUUCUCUUGUAAACAAUGACACGCUUCCUGCCUCCUCCUCCACGUGAUGUUUGACCUUACCAAUGAGCUUGCGUCAUCCCUCUCAUGAGCGCGCAUCACAGGUGUACGGAAGCGAACAUUUGUAGUUAAAAGGUAUAUAAGUAUUGUUUUGUUUCUAAAAAUAAUCAAUCGUUUGGGUUCAGAAGAACUUUAUUUGUCGACUGGAGUCGUGUGGGUUAUUUUGAUGCACCCUAAAUAUGCAUUUUGGACCGUCAAAAAAUGGAGGACAUUCACUUGCAUUGUUUAGAGGAGGCGGCCUGAAAUGAAAUCCUAAAACUCUUAAACUCUGUUUUGAUGAAGAAAGAAACUCCGAUACAUCUUGGAUGGCAUGAGGUGAGUAAAUUAUCAGCAAAUUUUCAUUUUUGGGUGAACUAUUCCUUUAAAUAUGAAAAAUUACUUUAUAAGGUAUAUGAGGCACACAUGCAACACAAGAAAUUAAAAUGUAUAUUACAAUUAAUCGUUAUAACCCUAAAACUGACAAUUAAUCAUCGUAAUCUUAAUUAUUUGUUUGACAAUUAAUCGUAAGCCUAAUUUCAUAAUCGUGACGGCCCUAAUGGUGAUUUAUUAUGAAAUUCAACUCAUUGUUCAUUUAUACUCAUGCACUGACAUAAGUGUGUCAUGUUUUGUUAAUUUUAAUAUUAUUAAAAUAGUUAUUUGUUUUUUCACUAAGGGUGAUAGGGUUGUACUGUUCAGUCAGUUUACCAUGAUGCUGGACAUUGUGGAGAUUCUGCUGAACAAUCUUCAUCAUCAGUUUGUUCGACUGGAUGGCUCUACUCCCAUGGCAGAGAGGAUUGGUCUCAUUGAUCAGUUCAACACAAA
Myxocyprinus asiaticus (Chinese sucker) is the source of this 3981-nucleotide RNA transcript. It is a transcript of the gene named SWI/SNF-related matrix-associated actin-dependent regulator of chromatin subfamily A containing DEAD/H box 1A-like, with no coding region annotated. Lineage: Eukaryota; Metazoa; Chordata; Actinopteri; Cypriniformes; Catostomidae. The transcript is spliced from 21 exons. The record is from RefSeq and is a predicted model, not a curated record.